UCAUUCCGGAAAGCUGCAGAGAUGUGGCCCCCCUUGUGGUCGGUAUACAGGUGGUGCAUGGCCUGUCGUCAGACUCGUGUCGUGNAGNAUGUUGGGUUAAGUCCCGCAACGAGCGCAACCCCUAUCUUAUGUUGCCAGCACGUUAUGGUGGGGACUCGUAAGAGACUGCCGGGGUCAACUCGGAGGAAGGUGGGGACGACGUCAAGUCAUCAUGCCCCUUAUGUCCAGGGCUUCACACAUGCUACAAUGGCCAGUACAGAGGGCUGCGAGACCGUGAGGUGGAGCGAAUCCCUUAAAGCUGGUCUCAGUUCGGAUCGGGGUCUGCAACUCGACCCCGUGAAGUCGGAGUCGCUAGUAAUCGCAGAUCAGCAACGCUGCGGUGAAUACGUUCCCGGGCCUUGUACACAC
This 408-nucleotide ribosomal RNA is filed under the name Rhodococcus erythropolis. RNAcentral describes it as "bacterial SSU rRNA". It matches the Rfam family "Bacterial small subunit ribosomal RNA", at positions 984 to 1390 of the family's 1533-position model. The record is from RNAcentral. Lineage: Bacteria; Bacillati; Actinomycetota; Actinomycetes; Mycobacteriales; Nocardiaceae.